ACUAAGUUUUAAAAUGGUUUCAUAGCCGUAGCAACUACAACAGAAAACCACACCAUGAGUAUAAUUGAAAAACAGGUAGAGAGUGCCUGAGGAUUCACCUGAAACCUAAAGCGUACCUGAAGCCUGUUAAUGCAUUGUCUACAGGUGGGGAACUCAGGACUAACACCCGACACAGCCAAAAUGGCUGCAGUGGAGCUGAAGCGAGAUGGCAGAAGGCUGCAGUAUGCCAUGAACGUUCUUGCUGGUGACAGAGAAUACACGAGCAUUUUCUAUGGACCAGAGUCUUUUGAUUUUGUCAUCUUGAGAAGAUUGUAAGUCAAGCUGUAACAGUAAUUCUCAAGAUGAAGCUUGCCUUUCAAAGACUACAGUCGUGUGUGAGAAAUUCGUGAAGAUGCCACUUGAGUAUUUGAGCUGAUUGCAUUCCAAAUGAAUACAGGAGGAGGAUUAUAAAGGUACUUCCUUCUUUGCUUUUCAAAUUACUGCUCACUUUCAUUUUCGAAUGAUAUUUCAUAGGUCAUUAAGCUCUCAUUUAUAGUAAUCUUAUAGUUGGGGAAAUUGUAAGCUUCUGAUUAUGGGGGAAAACAUGCUUAUAGCAUCCAUGCAAAUAUUGUCUCUGUUUUGACAAACUUGCAGUGAUACAAUGUGUUUUCUCUGCCUUGCUAAAAAUUCUUUUAAAUAAGUUUGUAUUUUUUUCUCCAUAUCACUGUUUUCUGGAUUUCUCUAAGUGAUUGUAUUUAAUUGUUACUGAUUUCAUUUGAAUUUAAUCUACAAAUGAAAGGAACAGAGGCUCUGAACUUAAUGAAAUAUGGAUUCAAAUCCCAAGUCUGCUUUUUAAAAAGUGGUAUCUUUUAAGGCAAUUUCUUGUGAUUCAUUUUUCUUUUCUGAAAUAUAAGAACAAAAUAUCAUGAGAUUAUUGACAUUUAGAUGAAAAGCUUUGUACAAAGUGUCUAGUACAGUGUCUAAGAGGCAUUCAAUAAUUUAUUUCUCUUUCUUGAAGAGAGGAACAAUUUCAACAUAUCAACACAUAUCCCAAGUAAUUUUUACUAAGCUGCAUCAUCUUUAGUGACUUGUUAAUUUUUUUUUAAAACUAGUCAAGUUUAUUUGAGAUUAUAUGUCACUGGAUAUAAUAAUAAAAUUUAUGUGUUUCUUGAAACUAAUCCAAGCCCACAACCUCCCCAUUGUUACUUACUUUUCACCUUAGUUUGAUACUUAAAUUACAGGGACCAUUAAUUUAGCUCCUCAGUGCAUUUUAUGUAUAUAAAAGCAAUUGCUUCUUAAUAAUUGCAUAGCCUUAUUCUUAUGCUAGUGUGAACAUGGAGUAUUGAAUUAAAAUAUAAGAAAUUUGUCAUUAUUAGAUUGGAUUUGAUCUACAAAGUCAUAACUUUAUAUAGUUCAAACUAAUAAUUCCCAAAAUAAUAAUAUUUGGAAGGCAUUCAGCAGUACCGAUGUCCUUCAAUCACUUAUUCCUAUGUAUGGCAUGAAAAUAUAUAUGAGAGAAACUGGAGGUUAUAGAUGAUCAGAAAUUCCUAACAGAAACUGAAUACCACAGAAAAGUGUUUCAUAAACCACAUGUAAAAAGGGGGAAAUUAUAUUCUGUCAGCAUUAAGAGCUAAAUUCUGAUUUGCAAGUAUGUUCUACAAUUUAAUUUGAGAUGCUUCUUCUUAAAGAACAUUAGAUGUUAAUGGAUUUUAAAAGAACUUUUAAGAAAUAAAGAUAAUCUUAAGUACUAUGCUUGGUAUUCCUCCUCAACAGUCACAGCAUUAACAGAAAAUUUAAAAUUCAAGUAUAAUGCUGACAAACCUGAACAAUUUACAGGUCCCAAAAUAGAGGCAUUGAGGGAGUUCAUCAGUGCAUUGUGCAUCUUCAUAUUGGCUUAGAAAAUCAUUAUGUCAGAUAAAAAUAAUUCUUUCCUUAAAACAUUUCCACACAUUUUCAACAGACACUCUGCAAAUUAUCAUUUCAAUUCUUUAUAUAAGAUGAUAAUGCCACUGGCUAAGAUAAUGGCAGUCAAUUUCCCACUAAAAUCUUUUUAAUUGUAUUCAUUUUUCUUAUAAUGUCUAAUCCUACUCAGUUUAAAAUAUGCAAGGAAAUCCCUGAAUUAGUCUUAAUUACAGUGUUGUUUAAUGUUGCUAGGUAUAUAAUUGCUCAGUUUGGAAUUUUUUUUUUUUAAAGAUAGGUUACCUUUUAAAGAGGUGAUCUAGAUUUCUGCAUUCCUAAUCAGUCAGAUGGGCCACUUAGGUGGCAGGGAUAGAAUUUGUGCAUGAAUACAAUCAUAUAAACUACCUCUCACCAGUUACUUCCAUGCUGAACUUUCUAACAACAGCAGAGUCCAGUGGUGAAAUCCCCAUGCAGUCCAGUUUCCUGAGGGUUGAGAUUGACUUCAUUAAACUUCUUCAUCAAGAAGAAGACACUGAAACACACUAGUAUUUUGCAUAUGGGUUUGCCUUCAUGUUCACAACAUUUCUUCCAUUAUAAUUAUAAGUGAACGUUGAGAAUGCUUUCUUACCAGUGUUUUGCUGGUAAAUAUUUAACAAGCAAUUAGCAAAAAAAAAAAAAA
This 2557-nucleotide long non-coding RNA is filed under the name Callithrix jacchus (white-tufted-ear marmoset). RNAcentral's name for it is "lncRNA (ENSCJAG00000065850.2)". The record is from RNAcentral. Lineage: Eukaryota; Metazoa; Chordata; Mammalia; Primates; Cebidae.